This 575-nucleotide ribosomal RNA is filed under the name uncultured bacterium. Its description in RNAcentral is "partial 16S ribosomal RNA". It matches the Rfam family "Bacterial small subunit ribosomal RNA", at positions 355 to 920 of the family's 1533-position model. The record is from RNAcentral.
UGGGGAAUUUUGGACAAUGGGCGAAAGCCUGAUCCAGCAAUGCCGCGUGUGUGAAGAAGGCCUUCGGGUUGUAAAGCACUUUUGUCCGGAAAGAAAUCCUUGGCUCUAAUACAGUCGGGGGAUGACGGUACCGGAAGAAUAAGCACCGGCUAACUACGUGCCAGCAGCCGCGGUAAUACGUAGGGUGCAAGCGUUAAUCGGAAUUACUGGGCGUAAAGCGUGCGCAGGCGGUUUGCUAAGACCGAUGUGAAAUCCCCGGGCUCAACCUGGGAACUGCAUUGGUGACUGGCAGGCUAGAGUAUGGCAGAGGGGGGUAGAAUUCCACGUGUAGCAGUGAAAUGCGUAGAGAUGUGGAGGAAUACCGAUGGCGAAGGCAGCCCCCUGGGCCAAUACUGACGCUCAUGCACGAAAGCGUGGGGAGCAAACAGGAUUAGAUACCCCUGGUAGUCCACGCCCUAAACGAUGUCAACUAGUUGUUGGGGGAUUCAUUUCCUUAGUAACGUAGCUAACGCGUGAAGUUGACCGCCUGGGGGAGUACGGUCGCAAGAUUAAAACUCAAAUGAAUUGACGGGGUC